CUCUUGACAAUGCUCGGUUCCCUGAUUGCAUGUGGAGAGCAAAAUGGAACGCAAUUGCUGGGAUCCAUAAGCUGAAGAAUCGCUGGGAUGCGUGGGAUGCGGAUGGUGCCGAGACGCUCAUGAAUGGCUGGAACGGAGGAAGAAGCGGGCUGCUGGGAGGCGCUGAUCACGGGCUCGGGCAGACGCUGUGAAGGAGGCUUGUGAACGGAUUGGAGGUGAAGCGGAAUAGGUGGAGGGGCGCGAUCUCUUCCAGACGACCGCUGGGAAGAUUCACGGGAUGCUGGGAGAUGAUCACGGGCUGAAGCAUGGGAGUGUUGAUCGGGUUGUGAGGCUAAGAAGGAGGAGAACGCGGACGAGACGGAUGCCAGAGGUGAUCGCGGAUGCGGACGACGUGCAGAUGCUGGGAAGAUGCUUGAAACGGGUUGCUGGGAAGGAGGAGGGCGCUGAUCACGGCUGGGAUGAUGGAGAAAUGAAGCCGCGGACGCUGUGGAGGAGGCGGUGAUCGCACGGACGGCUGAAGAAGAAGGAACUUUGAUCACAGAAGAAUUGCUUCGCGUGUGGAGGAAGCGGUCGGACGCGUGGGAAACGCUGACUCACUUGCGGGAAGAUGGGUUGGAUGCGGGCUCCAUCGAAAUGAGAUGCACAGAUUACUAAAAAUUGGUUGCAGUGAAUUGGACGGCUGAACUCAACCUUCUUCUAGCGUGCAACUGGGAUUG
This 716-nucleotide long non-coding RNA is filed under the name Phoenix dactylifera (date palm). RNAcentral's name for it is "long non-coding RNA (PDAC_LNC009383)". Lineage: Eukaryota; Viridiplantae; Streptophyta; Magnoliopsida; Arecales; Arecaceae. The record is from RNAcentral.